CAUCAAGUACCGCUGAACUUCUCCUCAGAACUACCGAAAAUGUACCUUAUCUCUAUGUUUCCAGGGUGCAAAAUGCAAGUGCCUGCACGGCACCUGCGGCGCCCAAUGCUCGCGUCCCUGCGAGACCCCCGAAUGCUCGUGCGGGGAGCGGGGGGCGUGCCAGUUCGACGAGACAGGCGCCAUCUUGUGUGUUAACUGCACGGAGAAUCGCGCAGGUCCUCUUUGCGACCGAUGCUUGACCGGCUUCUACAGUGGUGUUCCUGAUGGUCCUUGUUUACCGUGCGAGUGUGACCCUGAUGGAUCAGACGGCUCCUGCACCUAUAGCAAGCACCAAAAGACCUGCAACUGCUUUCUCGGCUUCACCGGCCCGCUAUGCGACGCGUGCGCCGACGAAAACGCAGUGUUCCCUUACUGCUUAGUCACGGAGCUUACCACGGGCGUUCCUGAGUGCAAGUGCGAUGUCCGAGGAACAGUGAAUCCUGAAAGAGUGUGCGAAGAUAUCUGUGAAUGCAAGGAGAACGUGGUAGGCGAGCGGUGCGACGCAUGCGCGCCGGGUCAUUUCGGAUUGCGCACGGAUCUGCCUGAAGGAUGUCGUCCGUGCUACUGCGCUCACGUCACCGACUCCUGCGUCGAGGAUCCGCAGCCUGGUGACAA
Molecule: long non-coding RNA, 654 nt
Organism: Cydia amplana
Lineage: Eukaryota; Metazoa; Arthropoda; Insecta; Lepidoptera; Tortricidae
Exons: 4
Source: RefSeq, a predicted model, not a curated record